UGCCAGCAGUCGCGGUUAGACCAAGGAAUUUAGUCAUUUUUUUUGGUAAAAAGACAGUUAAGCAGAAGUAGAAUCAUUGGACCUUUAGUAUAGGGGUAAAAUCUAAAUACUAAAAGUUAUAUCAAGUGUGAUUUAUUUUAGAUGCUGAAUCUGUGACAACUUUAAGGGAAACUGGGAUUGGAUACCCCACUAUUUUUAGUAAUAAAUUUAACUUAAGUUUACCAGAGUACUACGAAUAAAAAGUUUAAAACUCAAAGAGCUUGGCGGUGUUUUAGACCUCUCAGGGGAACCUGUCUCAUAAUCGACAAUCCACGUUAAACCCGACCCUCUAUGGCAAUUCAGCCUGUAUACCGUUGUCGUCAGGUAACUUCUUAAAAUAUAGUAGUUAGCUCGAAAAUUAUAUUAAUUAGUACGUCAGAUCAAGGUGCAGCUAAUAAGAGGGAGAGGAUGGGUUACAAUUAUAUAUUUAUAAUUACAGAAAACACCCUAAAUAAAGUGUUAGAAGGAGGACUUGAAAGUAAUUUUGAUUAUAUAAGCAAAAUGAAUAAGGCUCUGAAACGUGCACACAUCGCCCGCCACUCU
This 582-nucleotide ribosomal RNA is filed under the name Conus sazanka. RNAcentral's name for it is "partial 12S ribosomal RNA". Lineage: Eukaryota; Metazoa; Mollusca; Gastropoda; Neogastropoda; Conidae. The record is from RNAcentral.